CUGACCCAGCCUCAUCCUAUGGUUUAUUUGUGCCGCCUGAAACGGUAGUACUAAGUGGACGUGAAACACCUGGGACUGAGGGUGGAGCAUAACGACCACCAAAAGGAGGUUCCUGACCCGCGGCAACAGUUUCUUCAGGACGUUUUUGCAAAUAACGAAGCAUUGCUUUUUCCAACGCGCUCAUUUUCUUCGGCUUAUGCUGAGGGCCAACUAUGAUUUUCCCCUUGCCGAAAGAGGAACGACGAUCACCCCCACCAUCGCCACUUCCUCUAGUAGCAGAAGCCAUCUAUGUACAAAAAUUCUUACCUUAGCACUACAGAAGUUGUUGAACUUGAAGACCGUGAUCAUCUCGCGAGCAUGUCCUCAACUGGGCGGCACCGCACUUCGUCAUGAAAGAAGUUCGAUUCUACGGAAAAGGGGACACGGUCACAAUGUCCGUAUCUACUCUUUCUCGUAGAAUCGAACCUCCUUCUUGACAUACGUUGCUGCUCGGCGGAGAACAUCCUCGCAGAGAUGAACACGGUAUGCAAGUUCAACAAGUAUGGAUUUGAAAAACCAUAUUGAAUUUGAUAAGAUAAACCGUUUAGACAAGGUAGCAUCAUUCUUAACCCACUGCAAGAAUACAUACUAUAUAUGACACAUCAAUCUCCCUCAC
This 655-nucleotide long non-coding RNA is filed under the name Setaria viridis. RNAcentral's name for it is "long non-coding RNA (SVIR_LNC004349)". Lineage: Eukaryota; Viridiplantae; Streptophyta; Magnoliopsida; Poales; Poaceae. The record is from RNAcentral.